Molecule: ribosomal RNA, 288 nt
Filed under: Triticum aestivum (bread wheat)
Lineage: Eukaryota; Viridiplantae; Streptophyta; Magnoliopsida; Poales; Poaceae
Description: partial small subunit ribosomal RNA
Source: RNAcentral
AUGCGGGAGAACGAGCUGUUGUGCAAUGCAUGGUUGGACACUAGCAUUGAUUUGAUCCAUGGCACGGAGCAAAAAGGCACAACCUUUUGGAGGAACAUUCAUAUAUGGUUCCAUGAACACAAACAUUUCGCGCCCUACUCCGAAAUGAUCAUCCACAACCGUGAAUGGAAGUCCCUAAACCAUCGAUGGUAGACCAUCCAAGAGGUCGUGUCCAAGUAUUGUGGGCACUUGAAGCAACUCAUCGCACGAUGGCCUAGCGGUGCUCAAAUCACCGAACAAGUAAGUUAA